Molecule: ribosomal RNA, 486 nt
Filed under: uncultured bacterium
Lineage: Bacteria
Description: partial 16S ribosomal RNA
Rfam family: Bacterial small subunit ribosomal RNA
Source: RNAcentral
AUUGAACGCUGGCGGCAUGCCUUACACAUGCAAGUCGAACGGCAGCACGGGUGCUGGCACCUGGUGGCGAGUGGCGAACGGGUGAGUAGUACAUCGGAACAUGUCCUGUAGUGGGGGAUAGCCCGGCGAAAGCCGGAUUAAUACCGCAUACGAUCUACGGAUGAAAGCGGGGGCCCUGCGGGCCUCGCGCUAUAGGGUUGGCCGAUGGCGGAUUAGCUAGUUGGUGGGGUAAAGGCCUACCAAGGCGACGAUCAGUAGCUGGUCUGAGAGGACGACCAGCCACACUGGGACUGAGACACGGCCCAGACUCCUACGGGAGGCAGCAGUGGGGAAUUUUGGACAAUGGGCGAAAGCCUGAUCCAGCAAUGCCGCGUGUGUGAAGAAGGCCUUCGGGUUGUAAAGCACUUUUGGCCGGAAAGAAAUCCUUGGCUCUAAUACCGUCGGGGGAUGACGGUACCGGAAGAAUAAGCACCGGCUAACUACGUG